Molecule: RNA transcript, 2207 nt
Organism: Vigna radiata var. radiata (mung bean)
Lineage: Eukaryota; Viridiplantae; Streptophyta; Magnoliopsida; Fabales; Fabaceae
Gene name: cyclic dof factor 1-like
Exons: 6
Source: RefSeq, a predicted model, not a curated record
GAAGGAAGUUUAAAAGGGACGGUAUUGUGUCUCUGAUGGCUCAUGUUGUUGGUGCUUUUUGCAGGGUUACUUUUUCUCUGAGAGGGUUUUGUAGCUUUUUUAGUGCAAAGUUUCACCCUUGAAAAGUUCCCUGGAAACAAAAGCUGCUUUUUUUACCAUCUCUUUCUCUAUCUCUCACACUUUCUUUCUCUGUUCUAUCUAUAUCUAUGUAUCUUGGAGGUGCUCAGAAGCUUCACAAAACCAUUCAACAACAGUACCAUUAAUUAAUACAGAAGGAGACAUGUCAAAUAAGGAUCCGGGUAUUAGGCUCUUUGGCAGGAAGAUUCCGUUGCCGGAAUCUCAGAUUCCGGCCAGUUCUCAGAUGGGAUAUCAGAUUCAGGCCAACUCUGCAACCAUGCUUAAAUUUCAGAAUGCUUACAAUGGCUUAAAGAAAAAAGAAGUUGAAAUACCCUGUACUGAAAACUCUGAGCAACCAGAGAAUUAUUCUGAUUCAACGGAUAGAAAACAAGAGACACUACAUAAUGAUCGGCAGGAAAAUGAGUCAAAAGUAAAUUCCAAAACAGUGGAAAAUAAUACAGAGAGUAGCAGUACAGAUCAAGAUAAAAUCUUCAAGAAACCAGACAAGAUUCUGCAUUGUCCUCGAUGCAACAGUUUAGACACCAAAUUCUGUUAUUUCAAUAACUACAAUGUGAAUCAACCUCGGCAUUUCUGCAAGAACUGCCAAAGGUAUUGGACUGCAGGUGGAACCAUGAGAAAUGUUCCAGUGGGUGCGGGGAGACGAAAGAACAAGCACCUAGCUUCUCAAUACCGGCACAUUAUUGUAUCUUGUGACGGAAUUCCAACUACAAGUGACUCUUCUUGUCACCAACUUGCCACAACACUUCAAUCUGCUGCUGUUUUCAGGUCUUCAACAGAUAAUGGUACUGUGUUGAAAUUUUGUCCGGAUGCCCCUCCUCUUUGUGAAUCCAUGGAGUCAAUGCUUAAUCUUAAAGAACAAAAUCGAAGUGCUGAUGAAAAUACUGUCAAUUAUGCAGAAAAAGGGGAGGAGGAAGUAUCCUUAUGUGGAUCAUCAUCUAUGACCAAUGCUUGCACUCCAAGAAACAAUUCAACUGAACCAACUGCAUCAAAACCUAUGCAGUGUUAUCCUGUUCCUCCGUGGAUAUUCCCUUGGAAUCCAGAUUGGAACAAUGUUGCUUCCACUGCAUCAGUUCACCCCUCUUCACUACAAAUGUGUAACCCUUAUAACAGUGCCGACCCUGCUUCAAUGCAGUGGUGUCCUACACCGAUCAUGGCAGUUCCAACAAUCUGCCCACCAAGCUUUCCCUUGCAAUUUGUUCCUGGAUCAUACUGGAGUGGACCACCUGUGUAUGGUGGUGGAACAGGAGCUGCUUCAAUGGGUUUCAAUGCCUGCCUUUCACCUACUUCCUCUACCAGUAAUAGCUGCUGCUCAGGCAACGGCUCCCCAACACUUGGCAAACACACAAGAGACAACCUUUCAACAGAUGAAGAAAAAUCAGACAUGUGUGUCUUGGCCUCAUCAGGAACCAACCCUGAAUGUGUACCAGAAGGUACUAUUUCAAAAAGGGCAAAGGCUAAAGAAGGCAAAGACCGUGUCUUAGGUGUGUCUCAAAUCUUGGAAGCUAACCCUGCAGCUAUUUCUCGUGCUCAUGCAUUUCAAGAGGGCAUGUGAUGAGUAUCUAGCCUCCACUUCCCCUUCAUAAUCCUGUGCAUAUUGCUUGGUUCACAAGCAUAAAAUUUGUUUUGCAGAGAUGCUAGCAAGUGCAGCAAUAAUACAGCGAUCCCUGCAUCACUCACCAUUUAAGUUUGAAGGUGCCUAAACGUUCACAACAGCAAGGGCUUCAAUUUGAACCGAACAAUUUCCUGUUCCGAUCGGUUCUGUAAGUUCAGCGCGGUGUGGGUACGGUCCUAAGGUGUUCUUGACCAGUUUACUGUUAAGCUUUCCAGAGGAAGGAGAGGUUUCACUGAAGCAUGUCUUAGAGGAAAAUGAAGAUGUUGCAGCUUAGACUCACUAUGAUUUCUUAGUUAUAUUAUGUCAUUUCGAGAUACUAUGUUUUGUCUUUAAAAUUUUUAAAUUCUUAGCUAUUUUGAUGGAUGACUGUAAUCCGAUUUCUCUAAAUGCACUUCUGACUGCUUUCCAGUAUUAUGAUUGAUGAUGUCUUAUUAUAUAUAUUUGUUAUAUAUUUGGG